RNAcentral lists this ribosomal RNA (293 nucleotides) under uncultured bacterium. RNAcentral describes it as "partial 16S ribosomal RNA". It matches the Rfam family "Bacterial small subunit ribosomal RNA", at positions 504 to 796 of the family's 1533-position model. The record is from RNAcentral.
UGUGCCAGCCGCCGCGGUAAUACGUAGGGUGCAAGCGUUAAUCGGAAUUACUGGGCGUAAAGCGUGCGCAGGCGGUCCGCUAAGACAGAUGUGAAAUCCCCGGGCUUAACCUGGGAACUGCAUUUGUGACUGGCGGGCUAGAGUAUGGCAGAGGGGGGUAGAAUUCCACGUGUAGCAGUGAAAUGCGUAGAGAUGUGGAGGAAUACCGAUGGCGAAGGCAGCCCCCUGGGCCAAUACUGACGCUCAUGCACGAAAGCGUGGGGAGCAAACAGGAUUAGAUACCCCAGUAGUCC